UACGUAGGGAGCAAGCGUUGUCCGGAAUCAUUGGGCGUAAAGCGCGCGUAGGUGGCCCCGUAAGUCCGCUGUGAAAGUCAAAGGCUCAACCUUUGAAAGCCGGUGGAUACUGUGGGACUAGAGUACGGAAGAGGCGAGUGGAAUUCCUGGUGUAGCGGUGAAAUGCGCAGAUAUCAGGAGGAACACCGGUGGCGAAGGCGGUUCUCUGGGCAUGUCCUGACGCUGAGGAGCGAAAGUGUGGGGAGCGAACAGG
This 253-nucleotide ribosomal RNA is filed under the name uncultured bacterium. Its description in RNAcentral is "partial 16S ribosomal RNA". It matches the Rfam family "Bacterial small subunit ribosomal RNA", at positions 524 to 776 of the family's 1533-position model. The record is from RNAcentral.